This 426-nucleotide ribosomal RNA is filed under the name uncultured bacterium. RNAcentral describes it as "partial 16S ribosomal RNA". It matches the Rfam family "Bacterial small subunit ribosomal RNA", at positions 354 to 796 of the family's 1533-position model. The record is from RNAcentral.
GUGAGGAAUAUUCCGCAAUGGGGGAAACCCUGACGGAGCAAUGCCGCGUGCAGGAUGAAGGCCUUCGGGUCGUAAACUGCUUUUAUUUGAGAAGAAUAUGACGGUAACAAAUGAAUAAGGGUCGGCUAACUACGUGCCAGCAGCCGCGGUCAUACGUAGGACCCAAGCGUUAUCCGGAGUGACUGGGCGUAAAGAGUUGCGUAGGCGGCUCAUUAAGCAUUCAAUGAAAACUAUCGGCUCAACCGGUAGCCUAUUGAGUGAACUGAUGAGCUCGAGAGUAUCAGAGGUUACUGGAAUUUCUAGUGUAGCAGUGAAAUGCGUAGAUAUUAGAAGGAACACCAACGGCGUAGGCAGGUAACUAGGGUAUUUCUGACGCUAAGGCACGAAAGCGUGGGGAGCGAACCGGAUUAGAUACCCUGGUAGCCC